AUUUUAGCAUAAGUAUGUCUUGUGCAAUAUUUGGGACAUACUUAUGCUGAAA
Molecule: non-coding RNA, 52 nt
Organism: Bos taurus (domestic cattle)
Lineage: Eukaryota; Metazoa; Chordata; Mammalia; Artiodactyla; Bovidae
Source: Rfam